UCUGUUUUCUUGGACAGGUGCCCUAUUUUUCCGGCGAGGAUUUUCGGCGGCGAGGCCAGUUCACGGCGUUUGGGAGUGAAGAGCUAAACAGCACCGGCAAGGACGUGCAAGAGUCGGUAGCAGUGGACCUUGGGCGCAUCAAAGCCUGCUUUCAGGUUUUUCCACCGGGAGUUGGUACCUCCCGCUCUCUUCUUUACUUUGUACACCUUUUUAUGUAUUUUAGCUAGCAUUCCGUGUGAGGUUUACUCUGUUGCUAUCUAGUUUGCAUCUUUUUGCAUAUUCCGCUAUAGUGCG
RNAcentral lists this long non-coding RNA (294 nucleotides) under Nicotiana benthamiana. RNAcentral's name for it is "long non-coding RNA (NBEN_LNC028652)". The record is from RNAcentral. Lineage: Eukaryota; Viridiplantae; Streptophyta; Magnoliopsida; Solanales; Solanaceae.